RNAcentral lists this ribosomal RNA (194 nucleotides) under uncultured bacterium. Its description in RNAcentral is "partial 16S ribosomal RNA". It matches the Rfam family "Bacterial small subunit ribosomal RNA", at positions 521 to 714 of the family's 1533-position model. The record is from RNAcentral.
UAAUACAGAGGUCUCAAGCGUUGUUCGGAUUCAUUGGGCGUAAAGGGUGCGUAGGUGGUGAUGCAAGUCUGGUGUGAAAUCUCGGAGCUCAACUCCGAAAUUGCACCGGAUACUGCGUGACUCGAGGACUGUAGAGGAGAUCGGAAUUCACGGUGUAGCAGUGAAAUGCGUAGAUAUCGUGAGGAAGACCAGUU